RNAcentral lists this long non-coding RNA (848 nucleotides) under Homo sapiens (human). Its description in RNAcentral is "HSALNT0242675". Lineage: Eukaryota; Metazoa; Chordata; Mammalia; Primates; Hominidae. The record is from RNAcentral.
AACUAAGAUGUUUCAAGAUCAUUUAAUAUUGUCUUCAUCCCCGACCUGAGAUCAGCCAUUAUCUGCAAGGAGCCCUGGUUCCUUUUAGGUUACUUCACCCCUGGGGUCUCGACUCAGAAUAGAGAUUGAGAAUCACAGAUCUAGUUGAACCAUCCAACUUUUGAACAUGAAUAAACUGAGGACCCAGAGGUGAAGUGAUUUUUCCACAGUCCCACGACAGAUAUGGCCAAACCAGGGAUCCUUUUGCAUUGUGGUUUUGGGAAUCACCUGUAAACAGUAAGAACAAAGUAGCAAGGCUGGGGCUCAGCUGUAGACAAUAAAGCCUUUGCCUGAGGGUUGCAGGAAUGAGAGGCCUCUCUGAGAGGCCCCAAGUCGAUUUUGCCCUUCUCCAGAGACAGAGAGCUGGUCUACCUGAGGCUGACAUGGGGAGGAAAGGCAAAGAGAAGGAUUGCCUGAAUGUCAAUGGUGAUUUUGCACAUUUUACAGUCACUUUUAUAAAAAGGUAAGUGGAAAAAAAUUCUAUUUUCCAUUUCCUGCCAGGUUUUAUAUUUUACCCUUCACUUGCAAAAAAUGUCCAAAUCCAAUGCUUACACUUUAGAGGUGUAAUUUGGUUCUAAUUUUAUUUUAAAAAAUUUGCAGAUAGAGUUAGUGGCUCACUGUAUCGUUUUAUUUUUUCUAAAGCAGUAUAAUUUCUGGAGUGCAAAUGAGAAAGAUUCAAGAUGCCUGGUAUAAGAUAUAAAUUUAGUUAAAAUUGUUCCUCUAGAGUGUAAAUUAUACAUUGUGAUCCUGAUAUUCUAGUAAUAUUAACAAAACUGAUGCAUAAUCUUAAAGUUUAUGUGCCUCUACCC